AGCACGUAGGUGGGUUUGUAAGUCAGACGUGAAAGCCUUCUGUUCAACGGAAGAAUUGCAUCUGAAACUACAAACCUUGAGUGUAGGAGGGGAGAAUGGAACUUCUGGUGGAGCGGUGAAAUGCGUAGAUAUCAGAAGGAGCGCCGGCGGCGAAAGCGAUUCUCUGGCCUAUUACUGACACUCAGUGUGCGAAAGCUAGGGGAGCAAACGGGAUUAGAUACCCCGGUAGUCCUAGCCGUAAACGAUGGGCACUAAGUAGAGGGAAUCACCGAUGUUCUCUCUGCCGUAGCUAACGCAUUAAGUGCCCCGCCUGGGGAGUACGGCCGCAAGGCUAAAACUCAAAAGAAUUGACGGGGGCUCGCACAAGCGGUGGAGCAUGUGGCUUAAUUCGAUGCAACGCGAAAAACCUUACCGGGGCUUGACAUGGUAGAAGUAGGAACCCGAAAGGGUAACGAACGGUAUCCAGUCCGUGACUAUCACAGGUGUUGCAUGGCUGUCGUCAGCUCGUGUCGUGAGACGUUGGGUUAAGUCCCCUAACGAGCGAAACCCUUGUUUUUAGUUGCCAGCGGGUUGUGCCGGGCACUCUAGAAAGACUGCCGUCGUCAAGACGGAGGAAGGUGGGGAUGACGUCAAGUCAUCAUGGCCCUUAUGCCCCGGGCUGCACACGUGCUACAAUGGCCGGUACAAACGGAAGCGAAGCCGAGAGGUGAAGCGAAUCC
RNAcentral lists this ribosomal RNA (719 nucleotides) under uncultured Planctomycetota bacterium. RNAcentral describes it as "bacterial SSU rRNA". It matches the Rfam family "Bacterial small subunit ribosomal RNA", at positions 566 to 1274 of the family's 1533-position model. The record is from RNAcentral. Lineage: Bacteria; Pseudomonadati; Planctomycetota.